This 7016-nucleotide long non-coding RNA is filed under the name Marmota monax (woodchuck). The record is from RNAcentral. Lineage: Eukaryota; Metazoa; Chordata; Mammalia; Rodentia; Sciuridae.
GCUUUCUUUCCCGCAGAAACUGGAUCGCAGUAGCUCAUGAAUGAUGGUCUCAAAGAUUCUUCUCAGAGUGAAAGAGACAGAGUUCUGGGAAGAUUAGGACAUUUUAGAAAAUCUCUUCUCCCUCCUAAUCAUGAGCACCACCAAUGCCAUCAUUUCCAUAAUCAUCUUUAGAAUUAUCUGAAGUGGAAAGGGAGCAACAGACCUGUCUAAUGAAUAGGUGGGAAAAAAUAGAACCAGCUGAUCCGUGAUUGGGUGGCCCACUGCGUGCGGUCAGGGGGAACCCGAAGGUUGGACCUGCACCCAUUCUCCAGCUUGGACUCCCUCUCAUCUUGCUCGGCUCCUGCCCCGCUGCAGACACAAGACAGUCUCAACAUCCUACCUUGGUGCCUACGCAGAGAACACUGCACUCCAUCUCAGGCUCGUCUUGCUAUCCCCCCUUCUAAACUUUCAGAGGCAUACAUCUGAGCCUCUCUUGGAGUUUUUGUGUUUUGCUCCUUUAUAUUUGAUACCUAUGAUAUCUUGUCACAUGCUGCAUAAUGAAGUGUUCGUCCAUGAGACACCACAUAGAAUGAUGGACCCCUAAGAUUGUGAUGAAGCUGAAGAAUUCCUGUCACCUAGUGAUUUGGUGAUCGUGGUGACAUCACAACACCACACUCCUAUGCUUGUGAUGAUGCCGGUGUGGACAAACCUACUGAGCUGCUGGGCAUAUGAAGACAGCACGAUACAACUACGUGCAGCACCUGAUGCUCCAUCAUGGACCUCUGCAUCUCUGGCUCGUGCUGUGCCUUCUUGGUGCUUUGGAGAGUACUCCUGCUUGCAAAGAGAGGCUCCCUGGGACGCCGUUGCUUUACCUACACUGUCGGGAGUCGCCACAUGCAUCUUGUGUUCUCCGCGUCUUCUUGACUUCAUCGUCAUCUCUGUGCCUGCUUUAAUGUGUGUUGUUGAGCUCAACAUGGGCCUGGGAGCAACAGGCCAUGCCAUGCAUGCCACAUGGCCUAGGCUUGCAGGAGCUGUUCCAUCCAGGUUCAUGUCACCACGCUCAGUGGCAUUCCUGCCUAACUGAGCACUUCUCAGAACAGUCCCAUCAUUAAGCGAUGUGUGACUGCAUGGAGGGGCAGAUCCCCUCCCACUGGACUAUAAAUUUGAGGUUAGCCAUAUUCUCCCUCAUCCCCGACUCCAGCCACCAAGCAGGUGCUUUUGAUUGAGCAAGUACCUCCAUAAGCACCUGUCGAAAGAACCAGGAACCGGAAGUUUGGUUCCAUUGCUUCUAGGACCUGUGUUGACAAGAACACAUUUGGGGGAACAAUACCAGGUUGGCAGAGCAGCUGUGAUUUCCCAGACACCUUACCAAGUCUCCUGGGCACAUGGGCAAAUGACAUUUAUUUGCCUGUUUCCUGAUUAAAAGACCCUAUGACUGUUUACUUUCCUUGGCCAGAAACCAGUUAGCAUGAGACUCCAUCCUCUUUCCCACCAGCUGGCGGGGUGCAGAUAAGCAUGGUGGCCUUGGAAACUGCAUCUGAGGGUUGACGCAGCACAGAUGGGCAGAGCCCAGGCCCUCGAAUCAGCACAUGGAAGGAAGCCACCUCCCAACCACCAACACCGUCUGGGGAUUUUUGUGGGUAAGAAAUAAACAUCUGCCGUGUUUGAGCCAUUUUCAGAGUUUGGGGUUCACGUUGUAGCAGCAUGGGUUGCUUUAAUAUCUUUUAAUAUUGCCAGAAAAAAACCCACAAAACUUUGAUUCUUUGUUUUGUCAAGCCACAGAUUCUUUUCCAUUUCAAGCACUUUUGAGUUUCCAUAUUGGUUAUGGAGUUUUAGAGACCAUUCCCACUUUCAAAAACACCCUCACUCGGCAAAGGCCCCACUCAGUGAAGGGUGUGUGAAAGAUUCUGGUUGUCCUUUCUAGGAACUCUCAUGCUGAGACAUUAUUCUAGUUCCAAUAGCAAACACAGAGGAGUCCUGCAGCGCCAGACAGAGGAGGAUAUGGAGAUAGGUGAGAAAUCACAGUAUGAAAUUCUGUCUUAAAGAUCAUAAAAUCUGCUGGGCAUGGUGGCACAUGCCUAUAAUCCCAGCAGCUAGGGAGGCUGAAGUAGGAGGAUUGCAAGUUGGAGGCCAGCCUCAGCAACUUAGCAAAGCUGUAAGCAAUUUAGCAAGACCAUCUCAAUAUAAAAAAUGUUUUAAAAAGGGCUGGGGAUAUAGCUCAAUGUUAACAUGCCCUGGGGUCAAUAUUCAGUACGAAAAAAAAAAAAGAUCAUAAAAUCCAACUCUGUUUGGUAUUCACUUACAAAACAAACUUCCAGUGUUCUGAGAUUUCUGGGGAAGGGAGGUGCCCCUGAAUCUGUGCCCCUGAAUCAGGUGCCCCUGAAUCUGUGAAAGCCACUUGCCCUUCAGGGGCUCUUGCUGCACCACCUGCUCUGUGUAAUUAUCCCAGGAAACACAAACUGAGUGGCUUCCUAUUGCACAGAAUGCAGUCUAAAUGCUCUAGUCUGAAAUCUAAGGCCUUCCACUAUAUGAUCUCCACUUUUGUUUCCAACCAAAUAUUGUUUUACUUUGUCCUAUUUAUAUUCUUUUUUUCAGGGGUGGGGGAAGACAGGUAUUCCACCACUACCAACCACCACUAUAUAUAUAUCUCCAGGCAUAUAAACAUACAAUAUGUGCAUGUGUUAUAAUAUCUAUCACAUAUUAUAUUUAAUGUGUCAUCUAUGACCUUAGGACAGACAAGGUUAUACUACAGUGAUAAGUGGAGCCUAAACUCCAAGUGAUUUAACAAAUGACACACUCAUAGUUUGCUUCCGCUAUGUCUUUCUCAUGGGGUUGUGUGUCUUUGGUGGGGGAUGUGUCUGUGCUCCACUCAGGUACCCAGGGUGAUGGCCAUUGUGCUCCAUCUAGGACAGGCAACCUUCUCCUUGACUGCAGCAGGAGAGAGAGAAACCAAGUGCCCUCAUACUUUCACACACAUUCCAUUGACCAGAACUGGUCUCGGACCCUGUCUAAUUCCAAAGGAGUGGGAAAGCAGGUGAAGCAAAUGUCGUAUUUACUGAAUGUCAUUCUCCUUGCCACUGUGGUCUUCCAAGACGUUUUCCCAGUUCUCUCCAGCUGCAACCAAUAUUUUUCUGACAGUGUUCAAUGUGCCUGUCCUUUGUAACGGGCAUUUCCCACAUCAUAUGGAGAAUGUAGGUGUGCAUACGACAUCCAUGACUCAUCUCCACAGAAAUCACUACAUGCCAGACGCUCUCCUGGUUACAUCUGUCAACACGUUAAACCUCAUAAUCCUCUGAGGUUCCUACUUUUGAUGUGUCCAAGGUGAAGACGAGGACAUGAGAGGACCUCCCACCGCCAGUUGGUUCCACAGUCCAUGUUGAACCACUGUGUUAUGUUGUGGCUUCUUUUUUAACUUCCUUAUUAGCAAAGACUAAAAUGUAAAACUGAUUCAUUUCUUUAUUUCUCAUGACACCAAAUACCAUUUUAGGCACUCAGUGGAUUUUCUGGAAGGCAGAGUACAUAAUUAGUGCCUUUUCUAAUAAAGAUUUUCAACAGACCUGAUCUGUUAGUAGUUUUCCUCCUGGCUUUGCCAGAUUGCUGCCGUCAUCCAGGGAACCGUUGUAGGAGAUGCCACUGUGUCUCCUUAAAAAGCCACAGGUCUUCACAGGAAGUACAAGGGGGUCUUUGGGGAUUUAUAGGGGACAGCCAGACAGAAGGCAGCAAAGCAAAGGUGAGACACGCAGGAAAAGACUCCAGCCACUUGGUUUCUAUUGUGUUUGAUUUUGUGCUUAAGAGACUGUUAAAUUGAAGUAGGGAAGUGUGGCUGCUGAGUCUGUUUGGUCUCCUUUUGAGUUCCCCAACUCCAGAAAUAAAUCCAGCUCCCCAGAGAGGACUUUCCUUUGCUUAACUGUGGAUUCCUGGUAAGCUGUAAUCCCCUUCCACUGGCCGGGAGCCUUCUACAGACUAAAUUUAGAAAAAUUAAAUUACAGCCCAGCAGUGUGGCUCCCCAAAAUGAAACCUAUAGUACAGAAAACCUGAAACCAGGGAAGGGCUGCGCAGAGGGGGGCGUCGGGGACCUGGCGAUCAGCCUCACCAUCUCCCAUUGGAAAGUUCCUGCUCGUUUGCAGAGAAGAGGGGACUGUAGGAGCCAAUUUAGAACCAUCCACACGAUGAUCGAUGAUGGGGAGAGGAGCCUUGUGCUAAUUAGGCCUCCGAGUUCCAACCAGGCAUGAAGAAAGCACAGUCAACCUGGUCCAGACACAGGCGCCCCCAGCGCAGCGCCCAACUGCGCAUUGCCAGGGCCGGUGACUCAGGAAGGAAAAGUACCGGGAAACCAUCUCCUGCGAUGACUCACCACGGGGCAGUCCUGUGCUGUCCUGAUGGAAAACUGGUGGGAUCUCGCGGAUUCAUAAGGACCUGGCAGCCCCUGCUAGGACUUGUACCCACUUAAGUGGGAGGGGUGGGCGGCUCUAAUCCAGACUGGGAAGAAAGGGGACUAAAUGGCACUCUGUCAUGCAACUACCCACGGCAUGGCUCUGUGCCCCAGAGAAUGGCAAAGAUGCUCAAGCCAUCUUAAAGGGCAUGGCAGGUCGUGAAUCAAAGUAUUCUCUGGAUUUUUUUUUUGUUUAAUGCCUGGCAAGUUUUCCUAGUAACCAAGAGAGACCUCAGAUUUAGAUGACAAAUAGUGGGGUUGGAGUUUUGUUCCCCAGGGCUGGAUGUGUGCUUGGCUGCAUGAGACCUUGGGUUCAAUCUCCAGGGCCAAAAAAAUAUGAAAUAAAUGCAUAUUUUGAAAAGGAAAAGGAAAAUGUAUUGGAUGUUAGGAUUUAAAAGAAAAUGCUUUUGAUAUGAUUUUUGUGUGUGUGUGUGGAAAAGUGAGGCUCGUGUGUCCGUUGACAUUUGUAGUAGAUUGAUUCAACAAAUAUUUAUUGAGUUCUGAAAGUGACCAGAUAUUGUUCUAAGCAUUGGGAAUAGUGUGGUGAACAAAACAAAAUCCUUUUCCUCACAGAAUUUAUAAUCGAGAGGGAGAAACUGAUAAUAAGUGGUAGACAAAGCAAUAAUGCUGUGAUUUCUUUUCUUUCUUUCUUUGUAUGUGUGUGUGUAUGUGUGUGUUUUCUGGGAACGGAACCCAGGGAUGCUUUACCAUUGAGCUAUAUUCCCAGUCCUUUUUGCUUUUUUUUACAGGGUCUCGCUAAGUUGCUUGGGGCCUCACAAAUUUUAUGAGGCUGGCCUCUGAUUUGGGAUCCUCAUGCCUCAGCCUCAAGUCAAGAAACUGGUGAAAGAAGGAAGGAAGGAAGAAAGGGAGGGAGGAAGGGAGGAAGGAAGGAAGGAAGGAAAGAAAGAAGGAAGAAAGAAACUGGUUUUAUAGGAAUGUACCACUGCCCCUGACUAAUUGUGUAAUUUCUUAUUGAGAUAAUUGUUAUGAAGAAAAAUAAAUAGAAGGAGAAGUUAGAGGGCAUUUUAGUUGUCUAUUGUCAUCUAACCAACUAGCCCAAGAUUUAUUUGCUUUAAACAAUGAUUUAUCAUUUUUCAUGAUUGUGUAGGUCAGAAACUUGGAAAGGGCUCAGCUGGAUGGUUCUUCUGCUAUAUGUGACAUCAACUGGGAUCAAGCACCUGACCUAUUCAGUCAGCACUGGACAAGACUGAAAGGUCUAAGAAGUCAUUUAUGUCUGCUUGAGAUCUCAGAAUCCCCUCUGUAUGUACUCAGUGUCUCUCUGUGUUGUCUCACCACUUGGUAAUUUAGCUUGCUCUUGCAUGGUAACUGGCAUCCCUACAGAAAACAUCCCUAAGGGCAAGCUGCCAGGCCUCCUAAAAGUCAGUCUUAUAUCUGACACACUGCUACCUUCUCUGCAUUUUACCAUCAGAGCAGGCCACAAGAUCAGCCCAGAUUCAAUGUUGGAAAAAUAGACUCACCUUCCAGUGGGCAGAACUGAUUGCAGCCAUUGUUGGAAACAAUCAACUGCAGAGAAUGAAGUGAGGAGUUGGACCGUGGCAAAGGUAGAAAGGGGCCAUUUCACACUCUAGACAGAGGGAGCCACUAGGACAAGGCCUUGAGAUGGGACACACUCAGUGUUGAGGAUUGAUUACAAAAAAAAAAAAAAAAAAAUCAAAGAGGUCAAAGAUAUAUGGUGACUGUGCUAAAGAGGAAGGAGCAAUAGGGUAAGUCACUACAAAUGGGAUCAGGGCCCUUCUAAGAGGCCUGAACAGCUGACAGAGACAGAGUGUCGGUGAGAUGAUCAGGAGCCUUGGAGUCAGGGUUAGGUCUUCAUAUUUUAUUCCAAAUGUGAUGAGAUGCUUUCUUAGGAGAGCAGCGUGAAAUAGCUCAUGUGUCAGAGGGAGCACUCUGGCUGUUCUGUGGAGAAUGGAUCAGAGGAAAGAACUGAAGGAAGGAGGGAGACCAGCGUGGGGCUCCUGCCAUCAUCCUGGUGAGAGGUGUUGGUGACUUAGAGAGAUGCAGCAAGUGGCCAGAUUCUGGGUUUGGGAUUUUGAAAUUACAGCUGGCAAGGCCUGCCAACAGAGUGGAUGGAAAUGGGAGAGAAAGGAUGAAUCAAAGCUGAUUUUUAGAUUUUUGAGGCUAGAUGACUAUCAUUUAGUGGAAUAAAAAAGACAUAGGAGAAAAAGAUUUAAGGUAAGGAGUAAUGAAAAUAAAGAGUUAUGCUUCAGAUCAAGUUCAGAGAGAGAUUAUCAGAAAUCACACUGGAGCUUUUAAUUGAGCAAACUUCUAUGGUCUGCAUGGUUGUGUCACCCCAAACUUCAUGAGCUGAAACCUGAAACCUGCUCCCCAGGGUGAAGACAUUAAGGGGUGGCCUUGAGAGAUAAUUAGGUUGAGGGCAGAGCCAUCAGAAAUGGGCUCAGUGCCCUUCUACGGACACCCAAGGAGUUUGUUUGCCUCUUCCACCCUGUGAAGACCCAGCGUGAAGAUGCCAUCCACAAAUCAGAAAGCAAGCCUCCCUACACACUCAGCCAGCUGGGCCUUGAUCUUGGACUUCCAGCCUCUAAAACUGAGAGCAAUAAAUUUUCUGUUGUUUGUAAGCUUCCUA